Quercus lobata is the source of this 4484-nucleotide RNA transcript. It is a transcript of the gene named short integuments 2, mitochondrial-like, with no coding region annotated. The record is from RefSeq and is a predicted model, not a curated record. Lineage: Eukaryota; Viridiplantae; Streptophyta; Magnoliopsida; Fagales; Fagaceae. The transcript has 5 exons.
CUUAAUUUGAAUAACUUUUUCAAAGCAGGAUUUCCUUUAGAUUAGUAUUAGAUAUGCUUCCCAUAGCCUUAGCAAUGUACCAAUUUUUGAGGCUAACCACUAGUGACGAUCUGUCAGCCAAGUAACGAGGUCAAUGGAGACACUAAUUUCUGAAUCAAUAGCCAAUCCAAAGUAUCCAAGGAGUGGAGAAUUGGAGUAGCCGGAAAAUCGACAAUAAAGACAGGCCUUGGUCCGUAGUGAACUAUACUGUGGAUUUGGCUUUUGUAUUUGUCCAAAAACUGGGCUUCAUGAGACUUAUCUUUCGGAAUGCUUUUUCGAAAUACCUAGAAAAUCAAUUCCCCAAACUCCAAAGAACUCACUGCAAUAACCGAGAGCAGAAAACACAGCCAAAAAUACAGUGAAAACCCAGAAAAACAAACAGACCCAAAAAUCCCACUGCUUUAAUUGUACUUAGAAACCCAAGAAAGCAGAUUCAGAUUUGGAGAACAGAAUAAUAAAAAAAGGGGUAAAUUCCUUUUUCCUCAAAAUAAAAUCUGUGUACAUGUUCAUAGUUCAUAUAUACACUUCUCUGUACUUAGAAAAUUGCAAAAAGACUCGAUAAAACUUCAAACCCCAUAAUACAGAAUAUCCAACACGACUUUCACGCGCCAACACAUAACCCACCCUCAAUCUACAAUCUUCAGAACUUCCAUUCCUUGAAUCCAUUACCCACACACCGUCUAGAGCCACCAGAUCGAAGAGAGGGAGUGAGAGCCUUAGGGUUUGAAAUUUUCGAAUAUGUAGAGAUAGACGGGUUUGUACUGGGAUGAUUGAAGUGGAAAUCGCUGCCUUUGGUGGCGGUGGCGUUUAGGAUGAUUGAAGUUGGUUUUACCUUUGGGCCUCCACUGACUGUGUCACUACCGAAAUUCUUGUGAAAACGGCGGCCUUCCAUGGCUUAACACUUCUUUGAAUUUCAAUUUCAUACAGAAAGAGAGGGGGAAUUUCUUCUCUAGAGAGAUAUUGGGGAAAUAGAGCCAGAGGGAGAGAGAAAGAAAGAGGCAGAUGGGUUUGAGAGAAAUUUUGAUUUUAGCUUUGAUUUUGGGUUUCCGGCUGUGGGUGGGUGGAGCUGAGUUUUAACCUUGGUUUGGUUUUGUUAACCAGAGUUAAGAUAAUGGGUAAAUGCUGAUAUGGACCUGAAUCAGAAAAAAUUGCCACAUGUCACUUUCGUAUUGGCUGGCAGGAGCUAGGAGGACCACAUCAGUGGUCCUCCCGGAGGAACCAAUAAUUUCUCCCAAAGCGGCCAAGCCCUGAACUGUAAUAAUAGUGUGAUAAGAGUUUGCGAGCGAUAAAAGAUGGGUUUGGGAGAGGCAAAGAGAAGAGAGUACUACAAACAAACAAGACUGCAUCGCUAUUAACGCCCGGCCCAUAGCAACACCUCUGUUCUGUUCACAAGUGCAGGAGAAGAUGAAGCGAGCUACAGUCGACCCAUUACCCAGUGUUACUCAAGAUAUUAAUUGCUGGGUACAAGGCUGGCAAGUGUCUGUGGGUUUAUAUGAAUAGGGGAAUAUACUAUCAGGCUUAUGUAUCUGGUUUAAAUAUCAAAAGUUUCUAAGAAAUAACUCAGACAUGUUUUGAAGAUUGCAUAUAUGCGGACAUUCCAGGUGUAUUGGUUCCCAGUAUCCCUGACAUAGAGACAGAACUGAAGCUGGCUCUUGCAGGUAUCAUCCUCUUACAAAUAAUUUCUCUUUAGUUUCUUAUGAGAUUUCUUACAGUACACAUGUGAAUGUGCACACACAUAUACACACAGCUACCUGCAUGCUUUUUUAGUUUUAGAUGUGCUAAUCUUGCUUGAAAGAUCACUGUUGUAAACAGACAAAAAUAAGUGACUCUCUAUUCACUAUUAAGAGAAGCCAUAGACCACUCAACCUGUGCUGAUUUGGUUGUAACAAACCCAAGUGGAUUCAGCUUCAAUUAUGUUGGGUAAGGCCUAAAAGUUUUAUGCCUCAAGAUGUGUCGGUUAGGGAUGGGACUUAAACCCUCUUGUUGACCUCCAGGCAACGCAGGUUGCCCAAGCUGCAGCUUCUAAAAUAUUAUUCUUGGUGUCUUGGAAUUUAUUAGUCUUUUUUCUUUUAUUUUUGUGUAUAUGUGGUUUUUUUGGGGGGUUGGGGGGAGUUGUUCAAGUCAACUUGAAAUUACUUUUGUCACAUUGUACUGCUUAUUCUAUCUAACAAAGCUUACCAAACUUUUAAAUGCACAUGAAGGGUCUGUAAAAUGUAAGCACUGGAACAACAGGAGGCUGGAAAGGGAUUCGAUAUGAUUAUAAGGAAAAACAUGAGUAUAAGCCGCCAUUUGACUCUGAUAUGUUUUACAUUGAGUACUUGCCAGCAGUUCUAAAUACUCAAGGGACUCCUCUUCAUUGGAAGCACUUGAACAAUAGGAGACUGGAAGGGAUUCAAUAUGAUUCUAAGGAAAAACAUUAGUAUAAUCUUAAAGAUAUUCGGCCAAAAAGGAGGAAGCUGCCAAAUGACUCAGAUAUGCUUUACAUUGAGUAAUAUAGGAUCGUUCUCAUUUAAUCAUUUUAUUCAGGAUGACCCAAAGUAUUUUAAAACUUUUUGUCACAUGACAAGUCUGAAAGGAGACAAACUUAACUAUGGGCAUAAGAAAAAUUGUUCUAGGGACAACAUAGAACCAAAUAAACUUCAUGAUAAGUUUUGUCGUUGAGAUAUUACAUGCGUUAGACACUAUUUUUGUUCUUACAAAUGGAUGGCAAAUUAUCAGAUUAGAAAUUUUUUCUGGGAAAUUUAGUUUUCUUGUCAUGAAUGAAGAUUUAAUUUUGAUAACAUAUUUUCUGGUCAUGAAUGUGUUACAGUGGGCCUAUGUUUUGAUAACAUAUUUUAUUGACAUUCAUGUAGGACAUCAUGAAGUUAUUCUGUUGUGCUUACUGUAUGAAGGGGUUUUUUAUGACCAGGGACAAGAAUGGAGAAUGUAAACUUGAAAUGUGGGCAAAUGCUAGACAGACUGACAGAGUCAAUGAACUACGACUUUAGAUAUGACAGGCUUAAUUUGAAACAGAUGAUCAGUAAGUUCAGACAAAAUAAUCUGGUUUCUAGUUUCAGUAGAUGGCUUUUAAGAAGGAUGUGAAGCUUUUUUGUUAUUUUUGACAGUAAUGUUGUUUUGUUAAUACUGAAAAAAAAAAUGAAGAAUAGCGGAAAGAGUGAAUGACAACAAUUUAUAAAGGUUUUACCUAGUGCACAAAGCUCCAACUUUUGCGGGGUGCCCUUGUUCAUGCUUAUUAGAUAGUGGAUGACAGUCCUGUUGUGCAUGUGAGUGUCAGCCAGUGCCCUUGUCCAUGCUUCUUAGAUAGUGACAGUGAGGAGCUCAUACUCUCGCUGAUUUAUCAAUUGUUAAAUAUAAGCAAUAGUUUUGUUUUUGUUUCCUAUAAAAAAAAACAAUAAAAAAAAAUGUUUUAGUUUUUGUUGGAUUUGAUUUGAUCAGAUAACUUUUGAGGGUGAUUGGGAUCAAAAGUGCUUGAUUUAGGCAAAGCGUCAAUGUCCCAAUUUUUAUUAUUAUUAUAUUUUGGAGGCAUAGAAAGUGUUUGUUGAAAUGCCUCAUAGAGUUUUGGUUUGUCUGAACUUGUUAUGGCUUUGUAUCCAUGUUUAUGUGGUUCUGCUUUUUUUUUUUUUUUUUUUUUUUAGUUGUUAAAUCUGGUGUAUUGAAUAGUUUAUUUCUCAAACUGAAAUAAGUUUAUGAAAAUUUUUGUCCUAUAUAAUGUAAAAAAAUUACAAUAUUUCACUUUUCUUUUGUCAUUUUGAUUAUGAUUGCAUUUUAUGCUAUAGAUCUUCUUAGAGACUUUAUUUAUACUCUCUAAUGCUAUGAGGAACACAAUGGAUUAAUUUGCAAGAUGCCAUAAUGCCACCUUGGUUAUAUAACGUUGUGAAGUGCAACUUCUCUUUGUUUUGUGAUUUUGAUAGCGGCCUAUGGAUAAUUUUUAUAGUUAAACUUGAUGUUGGUUGCUUCAACAUGGAUGCAGAGUCUGCAGACAUGCAGCUACUGCACUAUACCUCUCAAUCUACUUUACUCUAGUAAUGGCAAUCCAUUCCUGACCAAUUUAAGCGAAGUUGUUGGACAAAGUGGCUGGCUUCGGUUAUGAUUCAAACAAGCAUCACCAUUCAACAAGGGGACUCUAGGCUAGCUAAAUAGUAUGAAUAUCUUGCAGCGUCAACAUUAGAAGCAAAUUUCAAGCAACGUGGAUAAGCAUGAGUGUUCCUUUAUCCAAGGGAGCUGUUAGUAGUCUAUUAGAAUUAGAAUUUAGCCAAUAGGUAGAUUUUUCAGAUUGAGUUAUUAGUUUAUUAUUUGUUCUUGGACCUUAUCAAGUUGAUGUUGUAUCAAUUAGUCCUCUAUCUCUAUGUCAAGUUGAUGUUUACAGGAUGUAUGAAUUAUUCAUCUCAAAUAGAAUGUAUUUGAUAUUAUGUUAGAUUGCUCAAAGCAAAUUCAUGAUUUAUGAA